Molecule: ribosomal RNA, 438 nt
Filed under: uncultured bacterium
Lineage: Bacteria
Description: bacterial SSU rRNA
Rfam family: Bacterial small subunit ribosomal RNA
Source: RNAcentral
AACGCGAAGAACCUUACGAAGGCUUGACAUGCAUGGUGAUCCGCGAGAGGUGGCGGGUCCGGCAGGGAUGCUGCAGGGGUGGUGCAAGGUUGUCGUCAGCGCGUGGCGUGAUAUGUUGGGUUAAGUCGCGCAGCGAGCGCGGCCCUCGUCCUAUGUUGCCAGCGGGGCGUGCCGGGGACUCAAUAGGAGACUGCCGGGGUCGACUCGGAGGAAGGUGGGGAUGACGUCAAAUCGUCAUGCCCCUUAUGUCUUGGGCUUCACGCAUGCUACAAUGGCCAGCUACGAAAGGGCUGCUAGACCGUGAGGUGGAGCGAAUCCCACAAAGCUGGUCUCAGAUUCGGAUCAGGGUCUGCAACUCGACGCCGUGAAGUCGGAGUCACUAGUAAUCGCAGAUCAGCAACGAUGCGGUGAAUACGCUCUCGGGUCUUGUACACACCG